RNAcentral lists this ribosomal RNA (416 nucleotides) under uncultured bacterium. RNAcentral's name for it is "partial 16S ribosomal RNA". It matches the Rfam family "Bacterial small subunit ribosomal RNA", at positions 355 to 763 of the family's 1533-position model. The record is from RNAcentral.
UGGGGAAUAUUGCACAAUGGGCGCAAGCCUGAUGCAGCCAUGCCGCGUGUGUGAAGAAGGCCUUCGGGUUGUAAAGCACUUUCAGCGAGGAGGAAGGCGUUAAGGUUAAUAACCUUAGCGAUUGACGUUACUCGCAGAAGAAGCACCGGCUAACUCCGUGCCAGCAGCCGCGGUAAUACGGAGGGUGCAAGCGUUAAUCGGAAUUACUGGGCGUAAAGCGCACGCAGGCGGUUUGUUAAGUCAGAUGUGAAAUCCCCGAGCUUAACUUGGGAACUGCAUUUGAAACUGGCAAGCUAGAGUCUUGUAGAGGGGGGUAGAAUUCCAGGUGUAGCGGUGAAAUGCGUAGAGAUCUGGAGGAAUACCGGUGGCGAAGGCGGCCCCCUGGACAAAGACUGACGCUCAGGUGCGAAAGCGUG